Molecule: microRNA, 23 nt
Filed under: Callorhinchus milii (elephant shark)
Lineage: Eukaryota; Metazoa; Chordata; Chondrichthyes; Chimaeriformes; Callorhinchidae
Description: eshark_NOVEL_222
Source: RNAcentral
UGUCGGAUCCUGUGAAAGAGCGC